This 837-nucleotide ribosomal RNA is filed under the name uncultured archaeon. Its description in RNAcentral is "bacterial SSU rRNA". It matches the Rfam family "Archaeal small subunit ribosomal RNA", at positions 21 to 859 of the family's 1478-position model. The record is from RNAcentral.
GGUUACUGCUAUCGGUGUUCGCCUAAGCCAUGCGAGUCAUAUGUUCGUAAGAACAUGGCGUACUGCUCAGUAACACGUGGAUAACCUGCCCUUGGGUCCGGCAUAACCCCGGGAAACUGGGGAUAAUUCCGGAUAACGCACAUAUGCUGGAAUGCUUUAUGCGUAAAAUGGAUUCGUCUGCCCAAGGAUGGGUCUGCGGCCUAUCAGGUAGUAGUGGGUGUAAUGUACCUACUAGCCUACGACGGGUACGGGUUGUGAGAGCAAGAGCCCGGAGAUGGAUUCUGAGACAUGAAUCCAGGCCCUACGGGGCGCAGCAGGCGCGAAAACUUUACAAUGCGGGAAACCGUGAUAAGGGGACACCGAGUGCCAGCAUCCUAUGCUGGCUGUCCGGGUGUGUAAAAUACACCUGUUAGCAAGGGCCAGGCAAGACCGGUGCCAGCCGCCGCGGUAACACCGGCGGCCCGAGUGGUGAUCGUGAUUAUUAGGUCUAAAGGGUCCGUAGCCGGUUUGGUCAGUCCUCCGGGAAAUCUGACAGCUUAACUGUUAGGCUUUCGGAGGAUACUGCCAGACUUGGAACCGGGAGAGGUAAGAGGUGCUACAGGGGUAGGAGUGAAAUCUUGUAAUCCCUGUGGGACCACCUGUGGCGAAGGCGUCUUACCAGAACGGGUUCGACGGUGAGGGACGAAAGCUGGGGGCACGAACCGGAUUAGAUACCCGGGUAGUCCCAGCCGUAAACGAUGCUCGCUAGGUGUCAGGCAUGGCGCGACCGUGUCUGGUGCCGCAGGGAAGCCGUGAAGCGAGCCACCUGGGAAGUACGGCCGCAAGGCUGAAACUUAA